GAUGAACGCUGGCGGCGUGCUUAACACAUGCAAGUCGAACGAAGCACUUUAUUUGAUUUCCUUCGGGACUGAUUAUUUUGUGACUGAGUGGCGGACGGGUGAGUAACGCGUGGGUAACCUGCCUUGUACAGGGGGAUAACAGUUGGAAACGGCUGCUAAUACCGCAUAAGCGCACGGCAUCGCAUGAUGCAGUGUGAAAAACUCCGGUGGUAUAAGAUGGACCCGCGUUGGAUUAGCUAGUCGGUGAGGUAACGGCCCACCAAGGCGACGAUCCAUAGCCGAGCUGCGAGGGUGACCGGCCACAUUGGGACUGAGACACGGCCCAAACUCCUACGGGAGGCAGCAGUGGGGAAUAUUGCACAAUGGGCGAAAGCCUGAUGCAGCGACGCCGCGUGAGCGAAGAAGUAUUUCGGUAUGUAAAGCUCUAUCAGCAGGGAAGAUAAUGACGGUACCUGACGAAGAAGCACCGGCUAACUACGUG
RNAcentral lists this ribosomal RNA (481 nucleotides) under uncultured bacterium. RNAcentral's name for it is "partial 16S ribosomal RNA". It matches the Rfam family "Bacterial small subunit ribosomal RNA", at positions 28 to 507 of the family's 1533-position model. The record is from RNAcentral.